RNAcentral lists this ribosomal RNA (253 nucleotides) under uncultured bacterium. Its description in RNAcentral is "partial 16S ribosomal RNA". It matches the Rfam family "Bacterial small subunit ribosomal RNA", at positions 524 to 776 of the family's 1533-position model. The record is from RNAcentral.
UACGGGGGGUGCGAGCGUUGUCCGGAAUCACUGGGCGUAAAGGGCGCGUAGGUGGCUUUGUAAGUCCGCUGUGAAAGUCCAGGGCUCAACCCUGGGAUGCCGGUGGAUACUGUCGGUCUCGAGUCCGGAAGAGGAGUGUGGAAUUCCUGGUGUAGCGGUGAAAUGCGCAGAUAUCAGGAGGAACACCAAUGGCGAAGGCAGCACUCUGGGACGUGACUGACGCUGAGACGCGAAAGCGUGGGGAGCAAACAGG